GAGGGGGAAAAAAGUGAUUGCUAAUCACUAAAAUCAGGGUUAAACACCUGACCCCCUCA
Molecule: transfer RNA, 59 nt
Filed under: Sphenodon punctatus (tuatara)
Lineage: Eukaryota; Metazoa; Chordata; Lepidosauria; Sphenodontia; Sphenodontidae
Description: tRNA-Ser
Source: RNAcentral